This 393-nucleotide ribosomal RNA is filed under the name uncultured bacterium. RNAcentral's name for it is "bacterial SSU rRNA". It matches the Rfam family "Bacterial small subunit ribosomal RNA", at positions 28 to 422 of the family's 1533-position model. The record is from RNAcentral.
GACGAACGCUGGCGGCGUGCUUAACACAUGCAAGUCGAGCGGUAAGGCCCUUUCGGGGGUACACGAGCGGCGAACGGGUGAGUAACACGUGGGUGACCUGCCCUCAGCUCUGGGAUAAGCCUGGGAAACCGGGUCUAAUACUGGAUAUGACUCCAUGACGCAUGUUGUGGGGUGGAAAGCCUUGUGCGGCUGAGGAUGGGCCCGCGGCCUAUUAGCUUGUUGGUGGGGUGAUGGCCUACCAAGGCGACGACGGGUAGCCGGCCUGAGAGGGCGACCGGCCACACUGGGACUGAGACACGGCCCAGACUCCUACGGGAGGCAGCAGUGGGGAAUCUUGCGCAAUGGGCGAAAGCCUGACGCAGCGACGCCGCGUGAGGGAUGACGGCCUGGUGU